CCACUCUCCCACUGUCGUGGUUCUCUGGGCCUGUCAUCGGCGCCAGAGCUAAGAGGGAAUCCGGUGAGCUCUCGCAUUUCGACAGAAGUGCGAUCGCGAAGCCGGAGCUGCCCCCGCAACUGUAAGCGGUGAGCCACCGUCCAUCUGCGUCACUGGGGCGAAAGCUUCGGGAAGGCCGGACGGUGAGCGAAGACCCGUGAGCCAGGAGACCUGCCGCGACACCAUAGUCGUC
This 232-nucleotide non-coding RNA is filed under the name Hyphomicrobiales bacterium. Lineage: Bacteria; Pseudomonadati; Pseudomonadota; Alphaproteobacteria; Hyphomicrobiales. The record is from RNAcentral.